UGUGCUUAGAGUGAGCUCGCAUUCCCGGGUCCGCGUGCCUCGAGGCGGGGGACUGACCUCCGGAGAAAACGUGAAAGGCUUCAGUUGUGGAAUUGGUUGGGGACUUCGUCUUUGGGUGCAUCUUAGAUGCUCGGAAAAGUCGAAGUCCCCGAAACAUCGUGUUAAAGGGACGUUAGGAUGACCGGGGAACCGACGUGGCCUGGUGUCUACAAGAGUCCUGCCAAACGCAGCGGAGGAGCGGGGAUGAGUUGUUGGCAGCCAUUUGAUUGCAAAAGAGCCAUCCUCUUGAAAAGUACUGUUGAAGAUAAUGUUUUGCCCUUCCUGAUAUAAGAAUUCAUACUUUGAAAAAAAACCUUUGGACAAAUUAAUAUAUCGGAUAGAAGUGAUUUUUAAAUGAUACUGAAUUAAAUAAGACAAAUCCGAAAAAUUAUCCUUCAAGCCUGGUACAAAGUGACUAAAGAAACUUUGCUGCUACAAUUAAGUACUUUCUGCCACCUUUGGGAGUAAUUUGGUUUAACUUGCCUUCAAGCAUCCUAAAACUCCAUACAAUGUAAAGUUAUGAAGAGAAUCUCAAAUGUGGACUUCAUAAGAACCGAGUUUGGUGUGAUUGGUCUAGAGAUGUCAGUGCUGCUGCUGCGGCUGCUGCUGAAAUGUUGACAAGUUAUUACUGAACUGCAAAUUUCUUAUCUCUAGCAUCUUUUGUACCUGUCCUGUAGAUGUGUGCAAUUAAUAUGAGAUGAUUUAUGUAGAAUUGCUUUAAAACAAUAAAAACACUACAUACAUUUCUAUAUUUAUAGUUAGAAUGAUUGAACCUUUAGCGCACUUUGCAGGUAAACUGAUUAAGCUGAGAUAAUUGGGGUGUAGUGACAGAUUAGGUGACUAGUACUCGGAUUGGAUUAAGGGGGUACUGUUUCUAUGUAUGGAAAACGUCUUUGGAGUUCUUAAACUACUCUCGGCCCCCAAAUCCUUGGAAUUGUAUAGGCAUCAUUUGCAUAGUGGAAGUAAAUAAGGUUACUAGUAUACAUACAAGUUGAGUUUUGAAAAACAUUUGCUUUUUAUCUAAAUAUUUUACAUUUGUUUAAAACUAAGGAUAUUCUCUUCAGUUAUGUUUUCUAGACUUAUCAAGAAAGAUAGUAUUUUAAAGUACUUUAUUAGGGUUUGGAAAAAGAUCAGUAAGUUCAUGUUAAUGUACAGUACCCACCUAUCCAUAAACUAUGGAAUGCUUUUGGCAGUUGGCUAAUAGAUUAUAAACUUACAUCCAAAAUUCUUCCUCAAUAAGUUUAAAUAAUGGCAAAUAACUUAAUUUCCAGUGCAUUGUAAAAUGCCACUUUAUAUCUAUCACUUUUAAAUGUAGCAACUGAAUUAAAUAUUAUAGUAUUUUGAUACUAUACAUCUAUUUUUUAAAAAAUGAACUGGCUCUUUGAUAGUCAAAGUUUCACAUUGUAUUGCUAUUCUAUCCCCUGUAGCCAUGGUUCUCAGUUAGGGUCUGUUGCCUCCUGGUUGACAUUUGGUGAUAUCUGGAGACAUUUUGAUCAUGGCAAGGACCUGAGGGCAUCUAGUGGGAAGAGUCCAGGAAUGUUGCAGAAACUGUCUACAUUGCACAAGGCAAUUUCCAACAACAAAGAAUUAAUCAGCCCAAAAUGUCAACAGUGUAUGUUACUGAGAAACUUAAAUGCUACCUGUUGCUACCAGAACCAAUAAGUAGCGGCAAGGAUUGAAUUUUUAUGGCUGCUCUAUUCAGAUGGCUGGUGAUCUGAGAAGACGCUGGGUUAUGUACCCUAAAAAACUGUCUUACGUUAAUCUAAAGUCAACCUUUAUAUAAGGAUAAGGAUAGUGUAGGUAAGGGGUUUGGAAUUCAGGAAAAAGUAGGUAAGGGUUUUGGAAUUCAGGGGAAAAGGUUAGUCAGAUAAAAGUUGCAGUCCAGCAAUUUUCCUAGCAUCCCAGUGAUUCUUUUAUCUAUUUACAAUCUGGAUGUUUUCUCCCUGGAGUACAUUGGCUUAAAUACCAUCUUGAUCGCACUUGAAGCGCUUGGGCAGAAAGGAAAGGUUAGGUUGCUUGUGGUCCUCCUGGAGUCACGAUAGAUCUUGUCAUAAAUUCUAGUUCCUGGAAUAACAGCUUUCUAUAUGCAUUAAUCACCAAGCCUAUUAACUAUAUAACUAAAGCUAAAGUUUUUAACUCUUGAUUUCCCCCAACAAAACCCCGACCUACAGAAUUCUACUCUUACGUGGUAUGGUUUUAGGUAUGAACGUCUUAAUGGUUAUCAUUCUUUACUGCAGCAAAAAAGAAAAAAAUGUGUGUAUAUUUUAAUGUGCAUAUCUUGGGAUGAUAAUAUUCUAAAAGUUAAGUCAAUUCAGCUGAUUGAAAUAUAAAUAUAAUUUUUAAUUAUAAAAAGUAAUAUUUUAUUGAAAUAUAUUUCUUAAUGAGAUUGGGCUUUAUAUUAUUUAGCUUAAGUUUGCAUGGAUGAAUAUUUUGUAUUGCUAGAAUUUGACAGAAUUCAACAUCAAUUUUUUUUUCUGUUUCAUUUUUACAGAUAUAAAGGCCAAAAUAUUUUGUUCAUUUAAAUUGAGACUAAGGAGUGUUAGUAUAGCAGUGUGGUUUAAUUGUGUUUAUUACUUCUGAAUUAUAUGUUAAAAGUCAUUUACUGAUCACGAUCUAUCAGAAUAUUCCUAAUGACAUGAAGUUCUCUAGUUUAAUUUGGCUCAGAAGCACAACAUUAGAAUCCCAACUUUGAAAAUAAUUCCUUACCUAGUUACUAAUUUUCUUAUUAAAUGUUUAGUACACUUGCUGUUAUGUUCUAGAAUAAUGUACUAUAUUAAUAUUCAGGUAAAGGCCAAAAGGGUAAAUUGGUGUCUGAUUUAAGUGGCUGUUUCUUAGUUGUUGAAUGGGUGGAUGAAUUAAUAAUGGAAAGAAUGACACUCAGAAUUAAAUGUUAUUAUAAUAAUCCAAGCUAGAAGUGAGAGGUGAUAGCUAGGAAGCUGAUGAGAAACGGUGCAUUCUGGGUAUAUUCUGAAGACAUAAUAGUUUAGUCAAAGUUUAGAUAUGAAAGAAGGGGAAGCAUCAGCUGUCACUAGUGGUUUUUUGUCCUAAACUACUGGAAGAGUGACUAUUUACUGAGAUGGGGAGACCAAAAGGAAAAGCAUGAAGAAGAUACGUGCCUAGUUCCCCCUGUCCAUUUUCUACAUUUGUGUUUCACAGCUUAAUUAAGCUGUUUGAAAGACCUACACAAUCAUUUUCCCACAAAAUGAUGGAGUUUUCUCCUUGUAACUCCAGUGGCAAAAAUUCAAACACUUGCCGAUGUUAAUUGUAAGUCUGCUAAAUAGUGUUAGUCAUCUGAUUUAUGUACAUUGGAUAUACCUGAAGGACAGGUUUUAUUGUUAAAAACUGUUCAGUGUUUUAAUAGGCUUUUAAGUACAUUUCAUUGUAUUUUAAAUCAAUAACUCUAUACACAAGUUUGUUUUUUUAAACACAGAUGUAAUAUCAAACAGUUGACUGCACUGGAUAUGAAAAUAGAUUCCUCAAAUUCAUAUACACCAAAACCAUGAUUUUGCUUGGGAUAAUAGUUUUCUGAUUUGGUCAGAAUAAUGCAAAUUAACUCAAAUACAACCGCAACAUUAUAAUCCAUGAUUUAUAUUAAUUCAGGUUAACAUGCAGUGUUACAUAGAGUUUUCCACCUUGGCUAGGUUAAUCCAAAGAGACCCAUUUUUCUCUUGUAAAUUUUUAAAACUUCUGUUUUUUUUUCCAGUUUGUUUCAGCAGACAAAAUAAUAUAUGCAAAGACAAAAAAAUUAACACCAUUUCAGUCAGUUAAGAUCUUUUGAAAAGUUAACCCAAAAUAUGUACACCUGUGUAUGUUAACAUUAUUAACUAUUUUAUAGGUCAGCAUACAUACUGAUAGUACCUCUUAUUCAAUUCCACCCACAUAUAAGAUUCUGAGGGUAUGGGUUCUUAGAGUCCAGUGGCAGAGAUAGAUAUAUACAUACCAACUUUAGUAAAUGUUUGUGAUAAAUAUUGAGAUAUAAGGAAAUAUUAAAGGAGCAUAAACAAGGAAGAAAUUCCUGUUUACUGACAUCAUCUUUGUGUUAAUAGUACUCAUAGGAGAAUAGUAUGUGUGGACUAGAAUAAUUGUUUCUUUCUUUUUUAACAGCCUGUUUGCUUCUUAAGCCUCACAUUUCUAUGUCUCCUAUCUCUACAAAUCUAAUGUUUUGUGCAAAUGAUGUUUCUGCCACCUCUGCUGGAUAAUGGCGGCUAUAGCAUACUGCUUGUCUCUUGAUGAACUUCAGCUGCCCCUUUCUGAGGAGAAAAAGCUUCCUUCUGGCUCUGGAGGAUGGAAAUCCAAGAUCACAGCACCGGCACGGUUGCACGAGGGCCUCCAUUCAAGGGUGUCACAGACUUUUGUGUGCACUGUAGGCAGAGGAACUAGGGAGCUCGCUGGAGCCCCCUUCAUAAGG
Long non-coding RNA from Phyllostomus hastatus (greater spear-nosed bat), 4447 nucleotides. RefSeq lists it as uncharacterized. The record is from RefSeq and is a predicted model, not a curated record. NCBI's taxonomy places the organism in Eukaryota, Metazoa, Chordata, Mammalia, Chiroptera, Phyllostomidae. The transcript is spliced from 3 exons.